Molecule: non-coding RNA, 27 nt
Filed under: Homo sapiens (human)
Lineage: Eukaryota; Metazoa; Chordata; Mammalia; Primates; Hominidae
Source: RNAcentral
UGGUGGAAGAAGUGGAAUCAAAAGGUU